RNAcentral lists this long non-coding RNA (2442 nucleotides) under Olea europaea subsp. europaea. The record is from RNAcentral. Lineage: Eukaryota; Viridiplantae; Streptophyta; Magnoliopsida; Lamiales; Oleaceae.
CGGCUUUUAAGUGGGCAAAGCCUUUUUCUACUCGUUGUGUGUAACAUAGUUUUACUAGCUCUCAUCUUUUUGAAUCUAUCAUUCUUUUCUUGCAAAAUUAAAAAAUUAUUCUAUAAGCACAACAUUAUGGCUAGUGAUAUACUUUCCUUUUGCUAACGGAAGUGAAAAUAGUAGGGAGAGCUGGCAAAUAUAACAUCUAUGAACAGAAAUUGCUUGCCAGGUAGAGUUAUAGGAUUGACUUAUGAUAUAGAGUUGGUAGCUAUAGGAAAUCAUCUAACAACUUAACUCAUUAUCUAUAAAGAGUAGGUAACAACAUUACAAUCAUUUCCCAUUCACAAAUUCACAAGGAAAUUCAUCUGGUUUGCCCAUAGUAAGAUGAAACAUGCACAUUCAAUAUAUAAAAGCAAUGGAACAUACCUUCUAUCGCUGAGAAUUGCGUUCUUUGACAAAUGCUUUCUAUUGAGUCAACAUUAUCUAGCUUGAGAAGAGCAGCAGCUCGUGUCAUGCUAAUUGUUCUUCCUUUGUUACCGAUUAUUUUUAGCACAUUAGAUCGAUGAUCUCUCCAACUCUUUCCCAAUUUUUGCACAAUGUACUUUCUAUGACAAAUGUUAAUAUCAAACCUUUGUUGCAUCAAAAUAUACAAGAUUAAUAGUAAUUUAAUUUAAACUAUAUGUGAUGUGAAGUUUAUAUCACAUGCACAAGCUCCCAUAUGUCAUCAAGAAAACUUUUGCUGAAAUCUUUCCAAUUUCUCUUUGUAAUAGGUGUACGUUUCCUAGCUGCGGACUAUGGUUCGAAGGAACGACGAUGACUUAUUUGAUCCUUUACAAAUUGAUUGCCUUCUUUCAUUAAAUUCUAUAGUUAACAUUGCACAUUUUCCCUUGUUGAGAUAGUUCAACUUUGCCCGACCCCUUCCUUUAUUUCCUUUUUCAGUAGUACUGAUGCUAUUAGGCAAGACUUCUUCAUCAUGUUGCACAGAAUUAGAACAUCCCUAUGAUAUUCUUAUUCCUUCAUUUCCUUCUCUUGUGACAGCAACAAUUAUAGCUUUUUAGCUUCUUUUGAUUUCUUGUAACCCUGAUUAGAUGAUUGCAUUUCAUAAAUAAGAAAGACACAUUUUUUUUGCUUAAAUUUAACAUAGAAACAUGAAAAAUCAUUAUAUACAACCUCAUGACUUACUUCACCAAGAUCUGACAUAUUAUGUCCAAUCAUUUGCACAUUAGUUUUCACAAAAGUCAGCUUUCAUCAUUUGCAUCUAUAUAAAUAAAUUAAGAAAGAAUGGAAUUAGAGACAUUAACAUUAAUGUAAUAUCAAUAAAAAUAAUGCAAGAAAGAAAGAAUCUUAAAUUUAUACAAUUACAAUAUUGAAUUUCAUCUCCCUCACAAUCAUAUCAAGUCUUAAUGAUGUAUCUAAUGUAGAUGGAGUAUAAGCAUCCUUAUCAAAAUUUUCUGACUCAUAAAAUCCUCUAGGAGGUGCCUUCAAUAUAAUAUACCAACUAGAAGUAUCACUUUCUCUAGAAUAAAAAACUUGGUUUGCUUGUGAUGCUAAAAUAAAUGGAUCUCUUUCAAAUUGAUGUUGUCAUCUAUGAAGAUUUACCAACAUAAACCCUUCUUUAAUCUUUACUCCGCUAUCUAUAUUUGUCCAAUCAAAAUGAAACAUAGGAACUUUAAAAGUAUGAUAGUCUAGUAGAAUUAUAUCUUUUAUAACCCCAUAAUAAGAAAUUUUACCAACUACUUGACUUGUAUCCUUCACACUAGACCGGCAAAUAGUUUGUGCCUCAAUAGAAACACCAUUGUUUUGUGUACUUUUGCAAACAUCAGUUGUAUGAAACUAAUGUCCAUUGAUAAUAUAACCAGAAUGUGACAUCACGUUAUAUCUAGGUCGUCAUGCAAGCCAUUUCAAUAUACUUGAUAUGUUACAAUUGUCUUGUUUGCCUUUCUCUGCAAACCUAAGAGUAAAACUCUCCAUAUGUUUAAGUUGUAAUAAGGUUUCAUUCUUGGCAACACAACCAUAUGAAUUCUUAAUCUCCUCUCUAUGCAUCCUAAAUAAAAAUAAUUAAAUAAAUAAAUAAAUAGUAAGACAAGUUUACGAGAAAAUAUUAAUCGAUAUAAAACUAAUUUAUUAACUAACUUGAUUACAUUAUAUAUGGUUCAAUUGUAGCACUGUUAAACAGCACGUAGCGAUGAGUGACCUCUAACAUUUCUUGACUCAAAAUCUUUGACUUUCCUUUAGAAAUUAGGCGUCCAUCAAUAGUUGUGUCGUUCUCAAAAUCCUCAUUUUGAUUAUGUCGAACAACUACCUUAGCAACUUGUUUCUGGUAACCAUUACAAAAAUGCAGACAUUCAUUGGAUAAAUAACGCUUUGCUAUGCAGCCCUCUAGUCUUGAGUGAUUUCUAACAUAUCAUUUAAGUGUUUUCAUAAACCUAAUUCACACAUAAUAGGCAUGAG